This 515-nucleotide ribosomal RNA is filed under the name uncultured bacterium. RNAcentral's name for it is "partial 16S ribosomal RNA". It matches the Rfam family "Bacterial small subunit ribosomal RNA", at positions 28 to 523 of the family's 1533-position model. The record is from RNAcentral.
GAUGAACGCUGGCGGCGUGCCUAAUACAUGCAAGUCGAGCGAAUGGAUUAAGAGCUUGCUCUUAUGAAGUUAGCGGCGGACGGGUGAGUAACACGUGGGUAACCUGCCCAUAAGACUGGGAUAACUCCGGGAAACCGGGGCUAAUACCGGAUAACAUUUUGAACCGCAUGGUUCGAAAUUGAAAGGCGGCUUCGGCUGUCACUUAUGGAUGGACCCGCGUCGCAUUAGCUAGUUGGUGAGGUAACGGCUCACCAAGGCAACGAUGCGUAGACGACCUGAGAGGGUGAUCGGCCACACUGGGACUGAGACACGGCCCAGACUCCUACGGGAGGCAGCAGUAGGGAGUCUUCCGCAAUGGACGAAAGUCUGACGGAGCAACGCCGCGUGAGUGAUGAAGGCUUUCGGGUCGUAAAACUCUGUUGUUAGGGAAGAACAAGUGCUAGUUGAAUAAGCUGACACCUUGACGGUACCUAACCAGAAAGCCACGGCUAACUACGUGCCAGCCGCCGCCGUAA